CCAUACCAUGCUGAUUAUAUCGGUUCUCGUUAGAUCACAGAAGUCAAGCAUCAUUGGGCGUAUUCAGUACUUGGGUGGGUGACCACCUGGGAACACCGCGUGCCGUU
Molecule: ribosomal RNA, 107 nt
Filed under: Caerostris darwini
Lineage: Eukaryota; Metazoa; Arthropoda; Arachnida; Araneae; Araneidae
Source: RNAcentral